UGAUUUCAACAUUCUUUCGAAAGCAUAGCUUUAUGCCACUUUCAUCACAUAUACACUAUUAUAUUUACUUCCCUUUUUAUUAGUGUUGGGUGUAAUGAAUGAUCCCUCUCCCUCUCUUUCUCUCCUCUGACACGAUGAGAGAGAGAGAGAGAGGAGCACAGAAACCCUAGAAUGAAUUUUCUAUUUUUUCAUCAUCUCUCUCUCUCGUUUCUUUCAACUUUCAACGCCAGCAGAAUUAAACCCAUCAUCAACAAUCAUGUCCUCUUACCAUUAUUCUCUCCAUCAUCAUCAUUGCUCCCACUUCAUUCCCACACAACUCAAAACGCCAUCAUUAAGAGAGAGAUUAUUGGAAAAGCAAAUUAGCCCCCGUAAUGUCUUUCAUGUGUACCGGAUGGCUAUCUUAAUCAAUCUAGCUCUUGGUUUCGAGUGAAGGGUUGUGUUUUCCUUUCAGGUUUCAACACUUUGAAGUCUUUGACUUUUGGGGAAUCAAGCGUCUUGGUCCGAUCAUUUAAUUUGCUACGUCAAGCAAGUUUAGGUUUCUCCAUCUUCUCAACCGGUUUAAUUUCUUUGUUCUGUUAACCUAUAUGAAUGUUUAGAUCUUGUUACCUUGUGAUAUGAGGGUGUAUAAUAAUUAUUAUUUUUUUGUUUCCAUUUGGUUUUUGAGUAUGAGAUUAUGAUAUUAUGCUUUCAGGAUGAGGGGAAAAAAAAAAAAAAGGUGAUUUUGUAAUUUCUGUUAGAAGAUCGCUCCACGAUCUCUCUCUUGCUACCAUAAUUUUCUUUUCCUUUCUGUCUACUCAAACUGAGUGUGUUGAAGUUGUUAUGUUAAGCAGAUCUACUUUGUUUGCUGAAGGCAUGCAGUGGAUCUCCAAUUAGGGUUUGUGGCUCUUGCUUCCGAUUUGACAAAUAUAUGGUCUCGUAGUCCGUUAUAAAUCGAAAUCCAUGAUAUCAUCAGAGAUUUAUAAAGCAUAUAUAUAAUAUGAAAUCUCAACUGUGUUCUAAAACAUAUUACAUAGCAUAUUAUUUCUUGCUCAUAAAGUUGUUACUUACUUACUUACUGCAUAAAAAACAGGCAUCACAUGAGCAAGGCUUAUAUGAAAUUACUACGAUUAAAUACUCCACAUAUUUCAUCAUAUACUUCCUAUCACAUCGCUAGUAUUUUAAUUGGUUUGUAACUUGUAUUCAUCUUCUUCUUCUUCUUCCAAGUGUGAUAUAGGUAAUUAAACAUCAGGUGCAUAUAUACAAUAAAUUAUUAAGAAACAAUAAUAUAACUUAAAACAUUCAUCCAAUAUUGAAUGAACUAGCACAAGGAUUGGUAUGUUGAAUAUCUUAGUUAUGCUUGGCAGGGC
This 1346-nucleotide long non-coding RNA is filed under the name Citrus sinensis (sweet orange). Its description in RNAcentral is "long non-coding RNA (CSIN_LNC002746)". The record is from RNAcentral. Lineage: Eukaryota; Viridiplantae; Streptophyta; Magnoliopsida; Sapindales; Rutaceae.